CAAAGAAAAAGGAAUUCAACCUCCGCCCCUAACUCCCAAAGCUAGGAUUCUAAAUUAAACUAUUCUUUG
RNAcentral lists this transfer RNA (69 nucleotides) under Cnesterodon decemmaculatus. Its description in RNAcentral is "tRNA-Pro". The record is from RNAcentral. Lineage: Eukaryota; Metazoa; Chordata; Actinopteri; Cyprinodontiformes; Poeciliidae.